Non-coding RNA from Triticum aestivum (bread wheat), 136 nucleotides. NCBI's taxonomy places the organism in Eukaryota, Viridiplantae, Streptophyta, Magnoliopsida, Poales, Poaceae. The record is from Rfam.
AUGAUACUCCCUCUGUCCCAAAUUUUUUGUCUUAGAUUUUUCUAGAUACGGAUAUAUCUAAUACUAAAAUAUGACUUGAUACAUUCAUAUAUCUAGACAAAUCUAAGACAAAAAAUUUUGACGGAGGGAGUACUAC